This 433-nucleotide ribosomal RNA is filed under the name uncultured bacterium. RNAcentral describes it as "partial 16S ribosomal RNA". It matches the Rfam family "Bacterial small subunit ribosomal RNA", at positions 29 to 507 of the family's 1533-position model. The record is from RNAcentral.
AACGAACGCUGGCGGCAUGCCUAACACAUGCAAGUCGAACGAGACCUUCGGGUCUAGUGGCGCACGGGUGCGUAACGCGUGGGAACCUGCCCUUAGGUUCGGAAUAACUCCCCGAAAGGGGUGCUAAUACCGGAUAAUGUCUUCGGACCAAAGAUUUAUCGCCUUUGGAUGGGCCCGCGUUGGAUUAGCCAGUUGGUAGGGUAAAAGCCUAGCAAGGCGACGAUGCAUAGCUGGUCUGAGAGGAUGAUCAGCCACACUGGGACUGAGACACGGCCCAGACUCCUACGGGAGGCAGCAGUGGGGAAUAUUGGACAAGGGGCGAAAGCCUGAUCCAGCAAUGCCGCGGGAGUGAUGAAGGCCUUAGGAUUGUAAAGCUCUUUUACCCGGGAUGAUAAUGACGGUACCGGGAGAAUAAGCUCCGGCUAACUCCGUG